CAGUAGCCGCGGGAAUACGGAGGGUGCAAGCGUUAAUCGGAAUUACUGGGCGUAAAGCGUGCGUAGGCGGUUCGUUAAGUCUGUUGUGAAAGCCCCGGGCUCAACCUGGGAAUGGCAAUGGAUACUGGCGAGCUAGAGUGUGUCAGAGGAUGGUGGAAUUCCUGGUGUAGCGGUGAAAUGCGUAGAUAUCAGGAGGAACACCCAUGGCGAAGGCAGCAAACUGGGCCACAUCUGACGCUGAGGCGCGAGAGCGUGGGUAGCAAACAGGAUUAGAUACCCGUGUAGUCCCUGUCUCUUAUCC
RNAcentral lists this ribosomal RNA (301 nucleotides) under uncultured bacterium. Its description in RNAcentral is "partial 16S ribosomal RNA". It matches the Rfam family "Bacterial small subunit ribosomal RNA", at positions 509 to 809 of the family's 1533-position model. The record is from RNAcentral.